This 496-nucleotide ribosomal RNA is filed under the name uncultured bacterium. RNAcentral's name for it is "partial 16S ribosomal RNA". It matches the Rfam family "Bacterial small subunit ribosomal RNA", at positions 28 to 506 of the family's 1533-position model. The record is from RNAcentral.
GAUGAACGCUGGCGGCGUGCCUAAUACAUGCAAGUCGAGCGAACAGACGAGGAGCUUGCUCCUCUGACGUUAGCGGCGGACGGGUGAGUAACACGUGGAUAACCUACCUAUAAGACUGGGAUAACUUCGGGAAACCGGAGCUAAUACCGGAUAAUAUAUUGAACCGCAUGGUUCAAUAGUGAAAGACGGUUUUGCUGUCACUUAUAGAUGGAUCCGCGCCGCAUUAGCUAGUUGGUAAGGUAACGGCUUACCAAGGCAACGAUGCGUAGCCGACCUGAGAGGGUGAUCGGCCACACUGGAACUGAGACACGGUCCAGACUCCUACGGGAGGCAGCAGUAGGUAAUCUUCCGCAAUGGGCGAAAGCCUGACGGAGCAACGCCGCGGGAGUGAUGAAGGUCUUCGGAUCGUAAAACUCUGUUAUUAGGGAAGAACAAAUGUGUAAGUAACUAUGCACGUCUUGACGGUACCUAAUCAGAAAGCCACGGCUAACUACGU